UGGACUAGAUGACCUAACAAGGUCCCUUCCAGUCUGACAUUCUUAUGAUUUUUAAGGUUCAAAUCUCAGCUAGCAUUUCUUUACCAUUAUAUAAAUUAUUGCACUACUGUGCACUUACUAGUACUCACCAGGGGAGCUGUACCUUUAGGAGGUUCAAUUCCCAGUUUAGACCUGUGCCUGAUUUCUCCCACUCCCUCCAGAUCACAUGACUAAGGGCUAGGAGCAAAGCCUGCUGGGAAGAGUGGAAGGACUUUCCCUCUAUCUGGAGGACCAAACCACUAAAAUUAUCCACCUGAAUCAUCCUACCAUGCUGGGAAAGACACUGUGAAGCUGAGACAGAGUAGGAAGAAGCUGAGGGAUGGUUCUGAACCUGAUGUUGCAGAGCUUUUCAUCAUAAAAAUAGUGUUGCCAAUAACAUCACCUAGCUGACAACCAAGCGGGGAGUUUCCAAACGUCUUCCAGAACACUGACUCCUUGUUAUAAAUUCAAGAUUGCUAAUCGCAAUGGUGCAUAUCACAUCUGUACUAGGCUUCAGGACUGGAAAGAAGCAACCUCCCUACUGCUGGAUGGAAUUGGGAAAGAUGUUUUCAGUCUGCAUAUGCAUCAGCAUUAGCCAUUUCUUUGUCAACAAAUCCCUUAAAACAGACUAUUUCUAUUAUGUACAGAUGUCCAAGAAAUAAUGGAAUACUGUACUACAAGAUUAAACACUUUAAUGUCAGCAUAUGUGCUGCAGGACUCUGAACAAUGGUGUCAUUGUAUAUGUACCAAAAGGGAGGGCUAAGGGAAGAUGGGUUUAAUUAUGUCUAGAGCAGCAGCAAAUUCUUCCCAAAUGGAGCUGAACUCCAGCAAGCAAGGAUGCAUAGACUGGAGACUGAUAUUAAAACAAAGUGUUUGUGCCCUUUCUCAUAUUCACCCAUUAGGCUUGAAAUGGCAAACCUAGUCUUACCUGUCUGAUUUCAUAAGAAUGGUGUUGAACCACCUGGCUUCCUAGAACUGCUGCAGCAACAGGAAGUAAUGAGUUUAGAUGAUAUUGGAAACCACCACAUCCUGUCAUCCCACAUGUUACCCAGGAGUU
This is a long non-coding RNA of Mauremys mutica (yellowpond turtle), 1075 nucleotides long. RefSeq lists it as uncharacterized. The record is from RefSeq and is a predicted model, not a curated record. The transcript is spliced from 3 exons. NCBI's taxonomy places the organism in Eukaryota, Metazoa, Chordata, Testudines, Geoemydidae.